Molecule: ribosomal RNA, 1434 nt
Filed under: uncultured organism
Description: 16S ribosomal RNA
Rfam family: Bacterial small subunit ribosomal RNA
Source: RNAcentral
CAGGCUUAACACAUGCAAGUCGAGGGGCAGCAUGGUCUUAGCUUGCUAAGGCCGAUGGCGACCGGCGCACGGGUGAGUAGCACGUAUCCAACCUGCCGUCUACUCUUGGACAGCCUUCUGAAAGGAAGAUUAAUACAAGAUGGCAUCAUGAGUCCGCAUGUUCACAUGAUUAAAGGUAUUCCGGUAGACGAUGGGGAUGCGUUCCAUUAGAUAGUAGGCGGGGUAACGGCCCACCUAGUCUUCGAUGGAUAGGGGUUCUGAGAGGAAGGUCCCCCACAUUGGAACUGAGACACGGUCCAAACUCCUACGGGAGGCAGCAGUGAGGAAUAUUGGUCAAUGGCCGAGAGCCUGAACCAGCCAAGUAGCGUGAAGGAUGACUGCCCUAUGGGUUGUAAACUUCUUUUAUAAAGGAAUAAAGUCGGGUAUGGAUACCCGUUUGCAUGUACUUUAUGAAUAAGGAUCGGCUAACUCCGUGCCAGCAGCCGCGGUAAUACGGAGGAUCCGAGCGUUAUCCGGAUUUAUUGGGUUUAAAGGGAGCGUAGAUGGAUGUUUAAGUCAGUUGUGAAAGUUUGCGGCUCAACCGUAAAAUUGCAGUUGAUACUGGAUAUCUUGAGUGCAGUUGAGGCAGGCGGAAUUCGUGGUGUAGCGGUGAAAUGCUUAGAUAUCACGAAGAACUCCGAUUGCGAAGGCAGCCUGCUAAGCUGCAACUGACAUUGAGGCUCGAAAGUGUGGGUAUCAAACAGGAUUAGAUACCCUGGUAGUCCACACGGUAAACGAUGAAUACUCGCUGUUUGCGAUAUACUGCAAGCGGCCAAGCGAAAGCGUUAAGUAUUCCACCUGGGGAGUACGCCGGCAACGGUGAAACUCAAAGGAAUUGACGGGGGCCCGCACAAGCGGAGGAACAUGUGGUUUAAUUCGAUGAUACGCGAGGAACCUUACCCGGGCUUAAAUUGCAGAUGAAUUACGGUGAAAGCCGUAAGCCGCAAGGCAUCUGUGAAGGUGCUGCAUGGUUGUCGUCAGCUCGUGCCGUGAGGUGUCGGCUUAAGUGCCAUAACGAGCGCAACCCUUGUUGUCAGUUACUAACAGGUUCCGCUGAGGACUCUGACAAGACUGCCAUCGUAAGAUGUGAGGAAGGUGGGGAUGACGUCAAAUCAGCACGGCCCUUACGUCCGGGGCUACACACGUGUUACAAUGGGGGGUACAGAGGGCCGCUGCCACGCGAGUGGAUGCCAAUCCCCAAAACCUCUCUCAGUUCGGACUGGAGUCUGCAACCCGACUCCACGAAGCUGGAUUCGCUAGUAAUCGCGCGUCAGCCACGGCGCGGUGAAUACGUUCCCGGGCCUUGUACACACCGCCCGUCAAGCCAUGGGAGCCGGGGGUACCUGAAGUGCGUAACCGCGAGGAGCGCCCUAGGGUAAAACUGGUGACUGGGGC